Molecule: ribosomal RNA, 1346 nt
Filed under: uncultured bacterium
Lineage: Bacteria
Description: partial 16S ribosomal RNA
Rfam family: Bacterial small subunit ribosomal RNA
Source: RNAcentral
GACGAACGCUGGCGGCGUGCUUAACACAUGCAAGUCGAACGGAAAGGCCCUGCUUUUGUGGGGUGCUCGAGUGGCGAACGAGUGAGUAACACGUGAGUAACCUGCCCUUGACUUUGGGAUAACUUCAGGAAACUGGGGCUAAUACCGGAUAGGAGCUCCUGCUGCAUGGUGGGGGUUGGAAAGUUUCGGCGGUUGGGGAUGGACUCGCGGCUUAUCAGCUUGUUGGUGGGGUAGUGGCUUACCAAGGCUUUGACGGGUAGCCGGCCUGAGAGGGUGACCGGCCACAUUGGGACUGAGAUACGGCCCAGACUCCUACGGGAGGCAGCAGUGGGGAAUAUUGCACAAUGGGCGGAAGCCUGAUGCAGCAACGCCGCGUGCGGGAUGACGGCCUUCGGGUUGUAAACCGCUUUCGCCUGUGACGAAGCGUGAGUGACGGUAAUGGGUAAAGAAGCACCGGCUAACUACGUGCCAGCAGCCGCGGUGAUACGUAGGGUGCGAGCGUUGUCCGGAUUUAUUGGGCGUAAAGGGCUCGUAGGUGGUUGAUCGCGUCGGAAGUGUAAUCUUGGGGCUUAACCCUGAGCGUGCUUUCGAUACGGGUUGACUUGAGGAAGGUAGGGGAGAAUGGAAUUCCUGGUGGAGCGGUGGAAUGCGCAGAUAUCAGGAGGAACACCAGUGGCGAAGGCGGUUCUCUGGGCCUUUCCUGACGCUGAGGAGCGAAAGCGUGGGGAGCGAACAGGCUUAGAUACCCUGGUAGUCCACGCUGUAAACGGUGGGUACUAGGUGUGGGGUCCAUUCCACGGGUUCCGUGCCGUAGCUAACGCUUUAAGUACCCCGCCUGGGGAGUACGGCCGCAAGGCUAAAACUCAAAGGAAUUGACGGGGCCCCGCACAAGCGGCGGAGCAUGCGGAUUAAUUCGAUGCAACGCGUAGAACCUUACCUGGGUUUGACAUGGAUCGGGAGUGCUCAGAGAUGGGUGUGCCUCUUUUGGGGUCGGUUCACAGGUGGUGCAUGGCUGUCGUCAGCUCGUGUCGUGAGAUGUUGGGUUAAGUCCCGCAACGAGCGCAACCCUUGUUCACUGUUGCCAGCACGUUAUGGUGGGGACUCAGUGGAGACCGCCGGGGUCAACUCGGAGGAAGGUGGGGAUGACGUCAAGUCAUCAUGCCCCUUAUGUCCAGGGCUUCACGCAUGCUACAAUGGCUGGUACAGAGAGUGGCGAGCCUGUGAGGGUGAGCGAAUCUCGGAAAGCCGGUCUCAGUUCGGAUUGGGGUCUGCAACUCGACCUCAUGAAGUCGGAGUCGCUAGUAAUCGCAGAUCAGCAACGCUGCGGUGAAUACGUUCCCGGGACU